This 446-nucleotide ribosomal RNA is filed under the name uncultured bacterium. Its description in RNAcentral is "SSU rRNA". It matches the Rfam family "Bacterial small subunit ribosomal RNA", at positions 26 to 518 of the family's 1533-position model. The record is from RNAcentral.
AGAGCGAACGCUGGCGGCAGGCCUAACACAUGCAAGUCGAGCGCCCGUAGCAAUACGGGAGCGGCAGACGGGAUAGUAACACGUGGGAACGCGCCCUUCGGUUCGGAAUAACUCAGGGAAACUUGAGCUAAUACCGGAUACGCCCUUACGGGGAAAGAUUUAUUGCCGAAGGAACGGCCCGCGUCCGAUUAGCUAGUUGGUGAGGUAAUGGCUCACCAAGGCGACGAUCGGUAGCUGGUCUGAGAGGAUGACCAGCAUCACUGGGACUGAGACACGGCCCAGACUCCUACGGGAGGCAGCAGUGGGGAAUAUUGGACAGUGGGCGCAAGCCUGAUCCAGCCAUGCCGCGUGGAUGAUGAAGGCCUUAGGGUUGUAAAGUCCUUUUAACGGGGAAGAUAAUGACGGUACCGUAGAAUAAGCCCGGCUAACUUCGCGCCAGCAGCCGC